AACGCUAGCUACAGGCUUAACACAUGCAAGUCGAGGGGCAGCAUAAACAUUGCUUGCAAUGUUUGAUGGCGACCGGCGCACGGGUGCGUAACGCGUAUGUAACCUACCUCAAACAGGGGCAUAACACUGAGAAAUUGGUACUAAUUCCCCAUAACACUUUGGGAGGCAUCUCCUGUAGUUGAAAGUUCCGGCGGUUUGAGAUGGACAUGCGUUGUAUUAGCUAGUUGGUGAGGUAACGGCUCACCAAGGCGACGAUACAUAGGGGGACUGAGAGGUUAACCCCCCACAUUGGUACUGAGACACGGACCAAACUCCUACGGGAGGCAGCAGUGAGGAAUAUUGGUCAAUGGACGCAAGUCUGAACCAGCCAUGCCGCGUGCAGGAUGACGGCUCUAUGAGUUGUAAACUGCUUUUGUAUGAGGGUAAACCUAGAUACGUGUAUCUAGCUGAAAGUAUCAUACGAAUAAGGAUCGGCUAACUCCGUGCCAGCAGCCGCGGUAAUACGGAGGAUCCAAGCGUUAUCCGGAUUUAUUGGGUUUAAAGGGUGCGUAGGCGGUUUGAUAAGUUAGAGGUUAAAUGUCAGUGCUUAACACUGGCCUGCCUCUAAUACUGUUGGACUAGAGAGUAGAUGCGGUAGGCGGAAUGUAUGGUGUAGCGGUGAAAUGCGUAGAGAUCAUACAGAACACCGAUUGCGAAGGCAGCUUACCAAACUAUAUCUGACGUUGAGGCACGAAAGCGUGGGUAGCAAACAGGAUUAGAUACCCUGGUAGUCCACGCAGUAAACGAUGAUAGCUCGUUGUCGGCGAUACACAGUCGGUGACUUAGAGAAAUCGAUAAGCUAUCCACCUGGGGAGUACGUUCGCAAGAAUGAAACUCAAAGGAAUUGACGGGGGCCCGCACAAGCGGAGGAACAUGUGGUUUAAUUCGAUGAUACGCGAGGAACCUUACCCGGGCUUGAAAGUUAUUGACUGAUCUGGAAACAGGUCAUCCCUUCGGGGCAAGAAACUAGGUGCUGCAUGGUUGUCGUCAGCUCGUGCCGUGAGGUGUCGGCUUAAGUGC
This 1059-nucleotide ribosomal RNA is filed under the name uncultured Bacteroidales bacterium. Its description in RNAcentral is "bacterial SSU rRNA". It matches the Rfam family "Bacterial small subunit ribosomal RNA", at positions 32 to 1087 of the family's 1533-position model. Lineage: Bacteria; Pseudomonadati; Bacteroidota; Bacteroidia; Bacteroidales. The record is from RNAcentral.